CGUCACACCAUGGGAGUCUACCGCAAGGAGGACGGUCACCACGGUAGGAUUCAUGACUGGGGUGAAGUCGUAACAAGGUAGCCGUAUCGGAAGGUGCGGCUGGAUCACCUCCUUU
RNAcentral lists this ribosomal RNA (115 nucleotides) under Burkholderia gladioli. RNAcentral describes it as "partial 16S ribosomal RNA". It matches the Rfam family "Bacterial small subunit ribosomal RNA", at positions 1395 to 1533 of the family's 1533-position model. The record is from RNAcentral. Lineage: Bacteria; Pseudomonadati; Pseudomonadota; Betaproteobacteria; Burkholderiales; Burkholderiaceae.